Small nuclear RNA from Trichosurus vulpecula (common brushtail), 105 nucleotides. The record is from RefSeq and is a predicted model, not a curated record. NCBI's taxonomy places the organism in Eukaryota, Metazoa, Chordata, Mammalia, Diprotodontia, Phalangeridae.
GUGCUUGCUUAGGUAGCACAUAAACUGAAAUUGGAGCAUUUAGAGGAGAUUAGCAUGGCUCCUGGCAAGGAUGACAUGCAAAUUCAUGAAGCAUUCUAUAUAUUU